RNAcentral lists this long non-coding RNA (7845 nucleotides) under Sus scrofa (pig). RNAcentral describes it as "lncRNA (ENSSSCG00015030367.1)". The record is from RNAcentral. Lineage: Eukaryota; Metazoa; Chordata; Mammalia; Artiodactyla; Suidae.
AUAGGGAGAAAGGAGCUGGGAACGGAAGAGACGAUUUCCAGGUGAGUGUGGCAGUGGCAGAAGAUCGGCUGGCAACAGGGGUGAUGCUCCUGAUGUUUCCCCAGGGCUUUCCUGCCCACCAAGAGCUCUCCCUAACCUGCAUGUGCACAUCCAGGUUCGAAGUGAGGGGCGGGCUUUGCUUGCCUAAUGCUGGUACUGUUGACCUCCCCAACUCAGAGCAAUCCCAUUACUCUAAGGGGAGAAGACAUUUGGGAGACCCAUCAGCUUCACCCACAGCCACUGGAGGGAAUUCCUUCCUGACCCCUGUGCUGAGGGGGUCAAGAGGCCCAGUAUGGCGGCUGGACAUGGCCUGUCAGGAGUGUGUCCCCCAGUCACACCCUCAAGCCCCUCCCUGGGGCCUCCACCCAGAUGAUACUGAAGGUGUGCCGGCCCCCCAACCUCCUGUCCUCCACCACACACACCCCGAGAGCCUUUCUGCUUUUUAGAAAACCUCUGCUUAAGAAAACAAGAUACAAACUCCCAUGGGCAUGUGCACUAAACAUACUUAUUUAGCAAUUCAAAGCCUGAGGAAAGACACCCUUGAGUUUUCCCCGACUUCCCCUGAGUGUCUUGGGCCUUGCACCACUCUUUCCUAAUUUCAUCUUUAGAAGUGGUAUUUUUUCAAGCUACCUCCAAAGACUGAAUUUAAUGAGCCUGUAUCAUAGACACUUCUGGGACUCCUCCUGGCCCCUUCUUCUAGAAAGGAAACAGGAUCAGGAUCUGGGCCUGCAUCCAGGGCAGGUAGUUUCUCCCAUCCUCCUGCUCUGCUGUCACUGGGGGUGAUGCAAGAAGACAAAACCCAUUGGGCCUGUGGUCCCCUUACUUAAUGAACUGUCAAAGAGACAUGAGACACCGAGGAUAGCAGGAGAACAGAGCAAGUCUGUGGCUGGCCAGUGGAAGGGGCAUGCCAUGCAGAAGCCCCUUGGGAUUGAGUCUAGGCAUUGUCAGCGGGGCUGGCUCGGGCUGAGAAGUGUCCUCCAAGGAGGUGAUGUUUAAACUCCCUCUUGAACUGUGGGUGAGAUGUACCAUGGCAGAGAACAGGUUGGAGGCAUUUCAAGGGAUGAUAAAAUGCCCAGACAGGUUCCUCAGUCUUCCUCUAGGUUUUGGCAGGCCCUUAGAGGGUGAUAGGAGUAAAACCUGGAGGUCUGACUUGAAAGCCCGGUCAUGAUGGAUCAAAAAGUGAGCUUUGUUAAAGGCUUUGGGCUCAGUCUUACCUAGAGACAACCUCUGGUGAUCCCAAGUCAUUAAUCCACCCAGAGGCCCAUCCUGACCUGAGUUCCCUUUCUUUGAAGUGUGCUGUCCUCUUCAGCAUGAGGAAAUAAUUUGCUGCCUGCUUCAAUGAACCAUCAGGAGAGCCAGCAGACCUAAUGACAUGUGAGAAUAUUAACCUCCUACCACGAAGAGCUGUGAAUCUUGAGCGGCAGUCUAUAAUUCACCAAGGACUCCUGAGCCAGACCUCUCCAGCUUUCUCUCUCACUCACUUUCUCACUUACACCCAGAGAGAAAAGGAGAGAUCUGCUCAUAAAACUUUAUAUUCUCCAAUAGUGUGAGCCUUGCUGAGCUGUUUAGUAAUGAGUGACUUUCCUUUCAUAGUCAUGGAGAAAGUAUAGCCCCAGAGGCAGCAAGGAAGGGGGAGUUUUUUUUCUUUCUUUCUUUUUUAUUUUUUAGAUUCUAUUUUAUUCUCUUCCAGGUUUAUUGAUAUAAUUAACAUACAGCACUGGGUAAGUUUAAGGUGGACAGCGAAAAAAGAAAGAAAAGGAAGGAAGGAACAAAGGAAGGAAGGAAAGAAGGGAAGAAAUUGCUUUUCCUUGUGAUAACUCUUAGGAUGUGUUUUCUUAACAGCUUUUGUAUAUAACAUAAAGCAGAGUUAAUUACCUUUAUCACGUCACACAUUACAUCCCCAGGACUUUAUUUAUCUUAUAACUGGAAGUUUGUGCCUUUUCUCCACCUUCAUCCAGUUCUCCCUCCCUCCACCCUCUGGUAACAACAAAUAUGAUUUCUUUUGCUUUGAGUUUCUCUGUUUUUUUUUUUUUUUAAUUUUUAGUUUGUUUUUGAAGUAUAAUUGACUUACAGCACUAUGUUGGCUCCUGGUACACAGCAUAGUGAUUUGAGACUUCUGUAUGCCAUGAAACGAUCGCCAUGAUAAGUCUCAUUCCCAUUUGUCACCAUGCGAAGGGGAGAAUUAUUUUUAGUGUUGCAUUUUGCAAAGGAGCCUUCCCUCUAAUGUGGGGAAAAUGCGCAGUUUCAUGGAGGUGACUGUUAGAACGCUUGGGUAACCACACUUUGUAGUUCUGUACUUUGUCUUAAAAACCAGAGAAAAUGCAGGAUAGUACACUAAUCAGGACAUCUGGUGUUAGAAGGGAUCUUAGAGCUCUUGCCAUCGCUGGAAGGUUGAAGGAGCACAUAAACCUCCUGGGGUUAUGGCUGUGUUUAUUUUUUUGUCUUUGUUUCAUGAGCUUUUGGGUCCCUUGAGGGCACAAUAACGUCUUAACCAGGUCUUUCAUCCUAGGCCUAUCAAAAUGUUUGAUCCAUCAAAGCCUCUGAUAUUAGUCAAAAAUGGAGCAGAUCAUCCACUUCAGCCACAUAUUUUGCGUACAGACACAACCAAAGUCCACAAAGUGAUUUGCUCGUGGACAUAACGACCUGGGCCAAAGUCUGCCUCUCUGGUUAGAAGAUGGCUCCUUUUGGGAGUAGAAUGCCACCUUGGUGUUUUCCCAAGCAGUAUGUUGUUCUCAUGGAGCUGAACUAGUGAGCUCAGGGAAGCCAAGUGCACAUGCAGGGCCAGAAGACCAAAAUCGGGAAGUAAAUAUGGAAGUGGAAAAGUAACUGGGGGAGGGAGGAGUGUGCCCAAGGACGUACAGUGGUGGCUGCCCUGCCGAGACCACCGAGCACAGUAGGAGUUCUUGGACCAGGGGAGUAUUCCUCACUUUGCUGGGAACACCAAGCCCCCCCAGGCUUCAGUGUGGGUGGUAGCAGGCCUGUUCCAUGCACCCUUGGCCUAGGUAGGGAUGUGCAGUUAAUAUUCACUGAAGGAAGAAUGGAGUAAUGAAUGAAUGAACCAUUCUGUGCUUAUGAGGGUACUUUUCUAUUCAGCCAGGCCAUAUAAUUUCCAUAGCUCAGUGUCUGUGCACAAUACUGGGCACAGACAGGCUAUUUCAUGACAGAGAGAUGUAAGGAAAACACAUUAUUUUUUUUUCCCUCUGCUGACUUGACUAGCACAUUGAAUGGAAAAAACGGUGGAGAGGGUCCACUCUGGUUGUUUGUAGAUCUCAGCCUUUCUGGUCUCUCCAAAUUGCUCUCCUCUUCUUUCUGCCAUUUUGUUGUUGUUCUUUUUAAAAUUAAUUUUAUUAAAACCAGUCAAAUUAAAACUGCUUCUGUCAGGGCAUCUCAAGGUCCAUUCAUUAUGGCUUCUUAUCUUGGCAGGCGAUCGACAUGGAAAGGCAGCUCAGCCAUUAUGCACAUACAAAGCCCAUCACUUCCCUACCAGUGGCCAAUUCAUCAAACAUUUAUCUUUUGCCCUCUAAGCACUGUGUCACUUUGCCUGUCACUCCCUAGUCUAGGAUGCUAUGAAAGAUGAAAAAACCAUAGGGGUGGGUAGGGUUCCCCCCCAACUUUUCUCUCUUAGACAGCCCUUGGUUGUUUUUUGUUUUGUUUUAUUUUUAUUUUCUUCAUUGAUAUAUAGUUGAUUUAUAAUGUUGUAUUAGCUUCAGGUGUACAACAAAGUGAAUCAGAUACAUGUACACAUAUAUCCAUUCUUUUUUACCACAUACGUUAUUACAGAACAUUCAGUAGACCUCCCUGUGCUAUGCAGCAGGUUCUUGUUAGUUAUCCAUUAUAUAUACAGCAGUGUGUUUAUGUCAAUCCCCUCGUCCCAGUUCUCCCUCCCCCCCAGGGAUUUCCCCUUUGGUAACCAUAAUUUGAUUGUGAAAUCUGUGAGUUUGUUUCUGUUGUAUAAAUAAGUUCUUUAGUAUCUAGCAUUUUGAUUAGAUUCCAAUCACAUAUUAUAUCAUAUGUGAUAUCAUAUGAUAAUUGUCUUUCUGACUUACUCCACUUAGUAUGAUCAUCUCUAGGUCCAUCCAUGUUGGUGCAAAUGGCAUUAUUUCAUUCUUUUUUAUGUCAGACAGCCCUUGUUAAUCAGAUUUCAUACUUAAGACUUGAAACUCUCCCCACCCCUGCCCUCCGACCCCCAUUUGUUCAACGUGGGAAGGUUGGGAAGGGCCUGCCACGUUCCUACCGAGCUUUUUACUGAAUGGUGGCCUAACUAGGCAGUGAUAAAAAUUUGGUUUAGUUUGGGGCUUUUUCUCUUGCAACCCACUUAAGAACAGAGAAUAUUGCAAAGGGAAGAGAUGUCUGAAAUAAAUGAGUCCAACCUCCCCAGUUUACAGGACUAAGGGGCAGGGUUAUGACUGAAGCAUUGUGGGAAAGGAGCGAGGAAGGCAGAACCAGAAUCAGGGUCCUUGCUCAUUUUGGUCAGAGGUUCUCCCAAGCUGCCUUUUCCCCAUGUUGCCCAAUGUUUCUGAAUACGUAUUAGUAUCUCGUUGAAGGCUUUAGCUACUUGCUUCCUUUUCUGUGGUAACUAAUGACUUCUUUAGAAAAUACAUAUAUUAUUGUUUUUGAAAACAGUCUUUCCAAUAUCAACAACCCUUAUACAUAUCUAGGUUUGUUUUCACAUGCUUUAUCCCGUGUCCUCCUCAUUCCAAUAUCUGCAGAGUAUACAGGUCAGGGAUUUUCCUGCCAAUGUGAUGGAUUCGAAAAUUAAACCCGAGAGGCAUCAUUUUUCCAAAGCCAUACAGCAUAUCCAGGACUUGAAAAUGGAGCUCCCAUCCCCUAAUUAAGCCGUCUUACUUUGUAUGUCUACUUACUGCAUUGGGUUUGGCUUCCCUGAGUUGACAAGAUCAGAACACACCAUUUCUUGGGAAACCACCACCAGCACAUUUUACCUGCCAGAGUAGCAAACCGCCAGAGAGGUAGACAGGGAUGCAAGAACGUUCAUUUAGUCCCAGGAAAAUGCCUUGUCCAUCACUGCUGUGCGUCCACCAGCGUUUGCUUUCUUCUCUUUGUCCCUAGCGCUGUCACUUCUGUUAGGUGUUGGUCCUCAGGGCCCAGAACGUGCCAUUUUAUGAAAUGGAGUGCAAACCUGACAACGUUGUUCUUUGAAAGGCUUUUCAAACACAGAGCUAUGCCUGUUUUGGAAGAAGGAAAAUGGCUCUAGGAGCAAGCCAUUUGCAGAGGUCACUGCAUCUCCCAGGGUUUUUUGUCCUGAAGGAGAUAUAAAGCUAUCUUGUAGUCUGAGACAGAAAACAUGUUUUCACCUUUUCCAGCCAACUGGGACCUCACAGCAUCAGCAGUUGGCAUGUUUUUGCUGGUUUUCCUGGCCUGAUUCCAUUCCAGGGGGCCCUGCCCAUGGGAAGCUGGUCUUUGGGCAAGUAUUUGAUGAAGGCCCCUCUGGAUCCCUAGGGUCUAGAGGCCCAGCCAUGUAAAUGUCUCCUUUUCUGGUUGGUUUGCAAUGAGUAGACACCAUCUGUUGAAUUAAAAAUUCCCUUUAUGGUGGGUGGUGAAAGGCUUGUGUGGAAGAGACACUGUUAUCUUUCAAGCAAACAGUUCAUGAGGCUGAAGAACCGUGUUCUUGGCCCAACAUGUGUUUGCGCAAUGGCUGUGGGAACCUCCCCCACUGGGCGCUGAAUUCCGCCCCAUGGCCCAUGGCGACGUGCACACAUACCGCAGUGGCCGCACACCAUGUCCGCGCCCUUACAUCUCCCCAGUAAAGAAAACCUCCAUUUAUAGACCCCGCCAAACAAACUCGCUCCUUAGACUCUUAAAAACAAACAAGAUCCUGAGGCCACAGGCUCCAUGCGUGCAUGUGUGGUUUUGUAAAAUCUCAAGCCGUGAAUCAAAAUAAUUUUAGAGACAGAGUCAAAGCCCAGAACCAAGCCCUGUCGCCAGGGUAGCAGAAACACAAGAAAGACUGGCUGAGAGGAGACAGCCAGAUGGGCAGAGUGAUGGGAACAAGAGGUGGGAGCCUCUGGCAUGUUUGGAGGGAAGGUACCUGGUUCCUCACCUCUGGCCUUAGGGACUCAGUUGCUGUAAUAACUUCAGGACAGUCGAAGAAGGAAUGGGCCAAAAGGGGGACUGUGAUAGCUCCCAUUUUUUUCCUUUCCAUAUCUAGAGCUUGUGUUGCCCACAUUGCUUCAUGUACACUGUCUUGUAUGAUUUCUCCUUAUUCCAAGUUCAACUUCUUUCUAUCUUCCCAUAGAAGAUAAACUCCCUGGGAGCAGGUGCCAUGGCUUGUGCAUCUAUCAGUUCCCCAGGUGGAAGUGCUUGUUGAGAACCUGCCAUAGUGGAAGCGGAUGUCACAGACCUACACUCUGGUGCUCAAUAAGCUUUCUGGAAUGUCAAUUACUUGAGUGCCAAAAUUAAGUUCUCUCUUCUUACAGUCUCUCACCACCAAUUUGGCGUAACGUAUGUAAGUAGAGGCUCAAAAGACGAGAAUUAAAUUGAGUCGAGACAUGGCUCAAGCCCAUCUUCUCUUUGAAGCCCUCCUAACCCAGCUUUCUCCCUCCAGCUUUACUCCUCCUCAGAGUAGUGCUUACCACCCCAGCAUAACCCCCUACCCUGCAUCGUGUGGUGACUUCUCCCCUGUCUGUAUCUACUGGGUAACACUAGGGGACCAUGACUUAGCCAUCUUUGUAGCCCCAGAGUUUAACAGAGUGCUAGGCACCAAGUUGGCACUCAAAAACAUUUUUGUGAAUGAAUGAAUGAAUGAGCUAUGGAGGUACAUACCACAGGGACCAUUAGCUGGUAUAUUUCAAUCCAGAUCUACCUAAUGCAUGCUUAACCUCAUGGGGGCCAUAUUAAAAACUAAAUUAUAAGAACUAGUUCUUCAGGGGAUUGUUCUAGGAGGGGGUGGAAGGGAGUAUAGCUAUAGAUAGAAAGGCAAAAGAAUUUGAAGACCAUCUAGGUUGAUCAUUAUAAUUGAGAACAUCCAGGAAUGGAUUAAAAGCUAUACAUGUUGUUUGGAUAAAGGAUGCAGCAAUGGCGGAUUUCCAUUUCUAGACUUCCACCAGAAAUUAUUUAGACAAAAUUUAGCUUAGUUCCGUUGAGGGAAGCCUGUAUUGAAAGUCCAAAGGUUCUAGACUUGGCUUGGUUACUGUGUAUGGUUUUGGGUGAGGCACUUGAACUCUCUGAGCCUUAGUCACCUUCUGUCAAGUGAAGGAUGGAACCCUUAAAAUUCUGCUAUGACUCUAAGUUUGUGAGUCUGUGAAGAAGGCUGUGAUGGAGUGUAUUACAUGCAGAUAGAGCUGUGGCUCUGACAUCUAGUUUUCUGUCUAUAAGAGGGUGUAGUGUGUUGACAUGUGCCUUUUUAAUUAGGGGGAUGUCUCCAUAGUUAGGGAAGCAUUAAAGAGGCCUUGCACAAUCCCAGUUAGAAGAUCAGAAUAAGGUACUGAGUUUACUGUGAUGGGAGAGACAGAGCUAGAACACUCUGCUGCCCUCUCUCCAUCAGGCUGAGUCAUAAGGGGCCCUUCUGGCAGGGAAGACGUGACUCUUGGCAGUCCUUGUAAACUGUGGUUGCAGCAGGGGAACUCCAGUCAGAGAAGCAUAGUAUCUGGCCAGAAUUUUAGAGGUCACUGAAUCUCAUCUUCUACUCUAUGCAGAAAUUACCUGUAAACAUCCGUAAUGUUUCUAGUCUCAGAUCACAUACAUAUUGUGAUUCAUAAGGCAGCUCAAUCCUUUGGCAAACAGUUCCCUAUAUUUAGAAGUUUGUAGAAAGUAUUGAUUCAAGAGCCCUCCUCCCAACUUACAUAAUUU